Molecule: non-coding RNA, 53 nt
Filed under: unclassified sequences
Description: Mu-gpT-DE RNA
Rfam family: Mu-gpT-DE RNA
Source: Rfam by way of RNAcentral
CCCUGACAGCCACAUAAUGAGGCUGACACUAGCCUCGACAGGAGUAUCACAUG